GUGGGAGGGGGCUUGCUCCCGAUAGCGAAGUGUCAGUUGACCUAUUCAUCAACUGACCCACUGCAAUCGGGAGCAAGCCCCCUCCCAC
RNAcentral lists this unclassified non-coding RNA (88 nucleotides) under Pseudomonas fluorescens. The record is from RNAcentral. Lineage: Bacteria; Pseudomonadati; Pseudomonadota; Gammaproteobacteria; Pseudomonadales; Pseudomonadaceae.